GAAAUGCGAUAAGUAGUGUGAAUUGCAGAAUUCAGUGAAUCAUCGAAUCUUUGAACGCACAUUGCGCCCUUUGGUAUCCCUUGGGGCAUGCCUGUUCGAGCGUCAUCUAAACCCUCAAGCCCUGCUUGGUGUUGGGUGCCUGUCCCGCCCCCGUGCGUGGACUCACCUCAAAUCCAUUGGCUGCCCUCGUGCCGGCCCCGAGCGCAGCAGAAACGCGGUCUCGUGGCCCGGCGGAGUGUGCCCCCAGAAGCAACAUUCACCGUUUUGACCUCGGAUCAGGUAGGGAUACCCGCUGAACUUAAGC
This 304-nucleotide unclassified non-coding RNA is filed under the name plant metagenome. RNAcentral's name for it is "partial contains 5.8S ribosomal RNA, internal transcribed spacer 2, and large subunit ribosomal RNA". The stretch from base 1 to 105 matches the Rfam family "5.8S ribosomal RNA", at positions 50 to 154 of the family's 154-position model. The record is from RNAcentral.